UACGGGGGGGGCAAGCGUUGUUCGGAAUUACUGGGCGUAAAGGGCUCGUAGGUGGCCAACUAAGUCGGACGUGAAAUCCCUCGGCUUAACCGGGGAACUGCGUCCGAUACUGGUUGGCUUGAGUUUGGGAGAGGGAUGCGGAAUUCCAGGUGUAGCGGUGAAAUGCGCAGAUAUCAGGAGGAACACCGGUGGCGAAGGCGGUUCUCUGGGCAUUACCUGACGCUGAGGAGCGAAAGUGUGGGGAGCGAACAGG
Molecule: ribosomal RNA, 253 nt
Filed under: uncultured bacterium
Lineage: Bacteria
Description: partial 16S ribosomal RNA
Rfam family: Bacterial small subunit ribosomal RNA
Source: RNAcentral